RNAcentral lists this ribosomal RNA (465 nucleotides) under Vreelandella stevensii. RNAcentral describes it as "partial 16S ribosomal RNA". It matches the Rfam family "Bacterial small subunit ribosomal RNA", at positions 338 to 795 of the family's 1533-position model. Lineage: Bacteria; Pseudomonadati; Pseudomonadota; Gammaproteobacteria; Oceanospirillales; Halomonadaceae. The record is from RNAcentral.
CCUACGGGAGGCAGCAGUGGGGAAUAUUGGACAAUGGGGGGAACCCUGAUCCAGCCAUGCCGCGUGUGUGAAGAAGGCCCUCGGGUUGUAAAGCACUUUCAGUGAGGAAGAACGCCUGGUGGUUAAUACCCAUCAGGAAAGACAUCACUCACAGAAGAAGCACCGGCUAACUCCGUGCCAGCAGCCGCGGUAAUACGGAGGGUGCGAGCGUUAAUCGGAAUUACUGGGCGUAAAGCGCGCGUAGGUGGCUUGAUAAGCCGGUUGUGAAAGCCCGGGGCUCAACCUGGGAACGGCAUCCGGAACUGUCAAGCUAGAGUGCAGGAGAGGAAGGUAGAAUUCCCGGUGUAGCGGUGAAAUGCGUAGAGAUCGGGAGGAAUACCAGUGGCGAAGGCGGCCUUCUGGACUGACACUGACACUGAGGUGCGAAAGCGUGGGUAGCAAACAGGAUUAGAUACCCCAGUAGUC